RNAcentral lists this long non-coding RNA (460 nucleotides) under Homo sapiens (human). Its description in RNAcentral is "non-protein coding lnc-USP16-1:1". Lineage: Eukaryota; Metazoa; Chordata; Mammalia; Primates; Hominidae. The record is from RNAcentral.
GCCAAAUCCUGUCCUCCCCGCUUUCAGAAGCUAGAAUCAGCCUUAUUGCACCCCUCAGAGAUCACAGCAGCAGUCAGUGCUCUCCUCAGAGAUCUGAAUUCUACUUUCAUGCGGCCCCUCCCCUGAGCUCCUGAGAUAGCCAAUGUUUGAGCCACCUCCUCAGAAGUUUGAGCCUCAACACCGUGGGAUCCCUUCUUUGUGCUCCAGAGAUCCAGUAACAGCCAGCCAUCACCCUCUCUUCAUUCUUCAUAGGCCUGAACUAAGGUGUUCAGGGCCCUCCUUCAAGCUUUUAGGUUCUGAUGACUCCAACCACUUCUUUUGUUCCAUCCUUUCCUAGCUCUAGGAAUGGUAGCUGCUACCUGCAGUGAUUACCUGUUACCUUUUAUAAUUCCUUUUGACCAAUUUCCCAUAUUAAAAUAUUUCUCAAUAACUAAUGUGAUUUCUGUUUUCCUGACUGGAC